UGUCAAGACAUAUGAAUUGGUAUUGGAUCUAUUAAUCUUUUCUUGUUUACAUAUAUAUGUAACGAUCCAGCCCACUGGCAAUAAUAACUCGUUGGGUCCAAACCACCGACCCAAAAUGCUUAAGUUCAUUUAUUAUUACUAGUGUCUAAGUCUCUUUAUAUACCUAAUCACAUCUGUAUUCCUAUCUGAUGUGGGAUUAUUAGGAUGUGACAAUAUAUACAUAUUCAUGUUAUUGAUGAGUAAUUAUAUCAUAUGAGA
RNAcentral lists this long non-coding RNA (258 nucleotides) under Ananas comosus (pineapple). RNAcentral's name for it is "long non-coding RNA (ACOM_LNC009011)". The record is from RNAcentral. Lineage: Eukaryota; Viridiplantae; Streptophyta; Magnoliopsida; Poales; Bromeliaceae.